Molecule: transfer RNA, 69 nt
Filed under: Ictidomys tridecemlineatus (thirteen-lined ground squirrel)
Lineage: Eukaryota; Metazoa; Chordata; Mammalia; Rodentia; Sciuridae
Also listed under: 1 other name
Description: Spermophilus tridecemlineatus (thirteen-lined ground squirrel) tRNA
Rfam family: tRNA
About the family: Transfer RNA (tRNA) molecules are approximately 80 nucleotides in length. Their secondary structure includes four short double-helical elements and three loops (D, anti-codon, and T loops).
Source: Rfam by way of RNAcentral
GGGGAUAUGGCUCAGUGGUAGAGCGCUUGCCUAGCAUGCAUGAGGCACUGGGUUCAAUCCCCAGCACCA